RNAcentral lists this ribosomal RNA (432 nucleotides) under uncultured bacterium. Its description in RNAcentral is "bacterial SSU rRNA". It matches the Rfam family "Bacterial small subunit ribosomal RNA", at positions 29 to 436 of the family's 1533-position model. The record is from RNAcentral.
CUGCCACAACGAACGCUGGCGGCGUGCUGAACACAUGCAAGUCGAACGAGAAAGGGGUCUUCGGACCCUGAGUAGAGUGGCGCACGGGUGAGUAACGCGUAGGUAAUCUACCCUUAUGACUGGGAUAACAUCGGGAAACUGGUGCUAAUACCGGAUACACUUCUUUGAUGCGGCCUAAAGGAGGAAAGGUGGCCUCUUCAUGAAAGCUACCGUAUAGGGAUGAGCCUGCGUACCAUUAGCUAGUAGGCGGGGUAACGGCCCACCUAGGCAACGAUGGAUUAGCGGGUCUGAGAGGAUGAUCCGCCACACUGGAACUGGAACACGGACCAGACUCCUACGGGAGGCAGCAGUGAGGAAUAUUGCGCAAUGGGGGAAACCCUGACGCAGCGACGCCGCGUGAGUGAGGAAGGCCUUCGGGUCGUAAAGCACCCA